GAUGAAGAACGUAGCGAAAUGCGAUAAGUAAUGUGAAUUGCAGAAUUCAGUGAAUCAUCGAGUCUUUGAACGCACAUUGCACCCCCUGGUAUUCCGGGGGGCAUGCCUGUCCGAGCGUCAUUGCUGCCCUCAAGCACGGCUUGUGUGUUGGGCCCCCGUCCCCGGUUUCCCCCGGGGACGGGCCCGAAAGGCAGCGGCGGCACCGCGUCCGGUCCUCGAGCGUAUGGGGCUUUGUCACCCGCUCUGUAGGCCCGGCCGGCGCCAGCCGACACCCAACUUUAUUUCUAAGGUUGACCUCGGAUCAGGUAGGGAUACCCGCUGAACUUAAGCAUAUCAAUAAGCGGAGGA
RNAcentral lists this unclassified non-coding RNA (348 nucleotides) under soil metagenome. RNAcentral's name for it is "partial contains 5.8S ribosomal RNA, internal transcribed spacer 2, and large subunit ribosomal RNA". The stretch from base 1 to 120 matches the Rfam family "5.8S ribosomal RNA", at positions 35 to 154 of the family's 154-position model. The record is from RNAcentral.